Molecule: small nuclear RNA, 338 nt
Filed under: Meriones unguiculatus (Mongolian gerbil)
Lineage: Eukaryota; Metazoa; Chordata; Mammalia; Rodentia; Muridae
Description: 7SK RNA (ENSMUGG00000022528.1)
Rfam family: 7SK RNA
About the family: 7SK was discovered as an abundant small nuclear RNA in the mid-70s but a possible function has only recently been suggested. Two independent studies have found that 7SK RNA binds the CDK9/cyclin T complex (known as elongation factor P-TEFb).
Source: RNAcentral
GGAUGUGAGGGCGAUCUGGCUGAAACAUGUCACCCCAUUGAUCGCCAGGGUUGAUUCGGCUGAUCUGGCUGGCCAGGUGGGUGUCCCCUUCCUCCCUCACAUACUCCCUAUGAGUCCCUCCUGAAGCUUCGAGCUAGGUCGAAGAGGACGACUUUCCCUGAAUAGAGGAGGACAGUCUUUGGUCAAGGGUCUUGAGUAGCUGUGCUCCCCUGCUGGAACCUCCAAAGAAGCUCAAGAAAUGCUUUUUAUAGUUCUCUAAGUCACAUUUUGAUUUCAUAGUUUUUGGGUAAGUGGGACAAGUCACAACAAUGAUUGCUUGAGGAGCACAGUGAAUUCCU